Molecule: ribosomal RNA, 381 nt
Filed under: uncultured bacterium
Lineage: Bacteria
Description: bacterial SSU rRNA
Rfam family: Bacterial small subunit ribosomal RNA
Source: RNAcentral
AUUGAACGCUGGCGGAGUGCUUUACACAUGCAAGUCGGGCGGCAGCGCGGGGGCAACCCUGGCGGCGAGCGGCGAACGGGUGAGUAACACAUCGGAACGUACCCUGUCGUGGGGGAUAACGAAUCGAAAGAUUCGCUAAUACCGCAUACGACCUGAGGGUGAAAGCGGGGGAUCGCAAGACCUCGCGCGAGAGGAGCGGCCGAUGGCGGAUUAGCUAGUUGGUGGGGUAAAGGCCCACCAAGGCGACGAUCCGUAGCGGGUCUGAGAGGACGGCCCGCCACACUGGGACUGAGACACGGCCCAGACUCCUACGGGAGGCAGCAGUGGGGAAUUUUGGACAAUGGGGGCAACCCUGAUCCAGCCAUUCCGCGUGAGUGAGAA